GAUGAAUAAAAUGAUUGCUUCCCCAUCCCAAACCCUCAGUUGAUGUAGCAGCACUUCCUUUUAGCAGCAGGCUAUGUGAUAGUCGAUGUAGCAGCACUCCCUUGUAGCAGCAGGCUAUAAGAUAGUUAAAGAAUGUAGUGAAGCCAAAAAUAUUCUCUUUUUAUAUUAAAAAGUCACCACUUUAAGCAUGUCUCUAUGCGAGAUCACAACAAGCGAAAAAAUAAAACUAUUUUAGGCUGCUUAACUGCAGAUUUACCGCUUUUUAACAAUCCAUGUGAUUCAAAGGGUUUGACACUUGAAUUUCAAUAUAACUUUCACUAGGCAGUUAUAUAAUGUAUAAGUUAAAGUUGUAUUUUUCUGUAAGUUAUUUCACACUAACAAAUAUUUUGCGUAUGAGUAUAAAAAGUGUUGUUUUAAAAAAUAAAUUUUUCCAGUUUAAAAAGUAUAGUUGAGAAAGCAAAAUGUACAUCCGAGCUGUUUGGAUAGAAAAUAAAGAGAAAUAGAGAGAAAAUACGAUUGAUAGUUUUUUUGUUGGCCAUCAUCAUUUAGUGUAAUAAAUUAUUUCAAUGAAAUGCAUGAACCGCAGUCUAACUAAUACAUAUUUAAGCUGCUCAAUAUUAAAUGUUGUGGAGAUAAUGAACCACUACUGUUCUUAUGCAAGAGAAAAUAUAAUCUAACCAAAAAUAACCAAGUACCUACUCCUAUAACGCAAAAAAAGAAAUGCAAAACAACUUUUAUGCAUACUCCGCAUGCUAUAGUUCAAGGAUCAGCAAUGGCAAAAUUUUCCUGAGGAAAGAGAGUAUUUUAAUAUAGUGCAAAGCUAUGUGUUUUUCCACAGAAAAAAAAAAAAGAUUGUUUUACCAGAGACACCUCCAUUUGUUUCCCUUAUAAGAAAAGCUACUAAAAAAGAUUCCUUAUCGAAUGGCAAGUCUCCCAUUACUGAGAAUUUCAGAAGAAAGUUUUAAAUGCACUGGUAGAAAAGAAAGAAAUGUUAGUAAAGCUCUUUCCAGUAAUUAAAAUAAUAUCACGACUAAUAGUCCUGAUAUUUUAUGGAUGAAUUGGCAGCAGUCAUUUAGUGAUUAUGAUGACAGUUUUAAUAAUUUUUGGAUGAGGUCUAAAGAAUUAUGAUAACAGUUUAAACAAGUGAUUUCUAAAGUGGUUAACAAACUUUCUAAAAUCAGAGAGAGCAUCAUGUCAAUUAAAGCGACUGCUACAGUUACCGAAAUAGGAAAAGGAAUAAUGACUUUAUUCAAAUAUGCACUCGACAGAUCGAAUGGUGGUGGUCGGUACAAAACAACAUUCAUACUUUUUCCUUAUUGUUCUGAAACUAUUGAUAAAUAAAACUUUUUUUUUCAAACAAUUUAUUUUAUUUGCAUUUUAUAUAAAGUCCCUUGAAGCAAUUUAGUUGUAUCUGAUUAAU
This is a non-coding RNA of Hydra vulgaris (swiftwater hydra), 1420 nucleotides long. The record is from RefSeq and is a predicted model, not a curated record. NCBI's taxonomy places the organism in Eukaryota, Metazoa, Cnidaria, Hydrozoa, Anthoathecata, Hydridae.